UGGGGAAUAUUGGGCAAUGGGCGAAAGCCUGACCCAGCGACGCCGCGUGGGCGAUGAAGGCCUUCGGGUUGUAAAGCCCUGUCAUGCGGAAAGAACGACCCUGUGACGCAUACUCACAGGGAGUGACGGUACCGCAGGAGGAAGCACCGGCUAACUCCGUGCCAGCAGCCGCGGUAAUACGGAGGGUGCAAGCGUUGUUCGGAAUUAUUGGGCGUAAAGGGCGCGUAGGCGGUAAUGUAAGUCAGAUGUGAAAGCUAUGGGCUCAACCCAUAAACUGCAUCUAAGACUGGUUCUCUUGAGUUCGGGAGAGGAGAGCGGAAUUCCAGGUGUAGCGGUGAAAUGCGUAGAUAUCUGGAAGAACACCAGUGGCGAAGGCGGCUCUCUGGCCUAGAACUGACGCUGAAGCGCGAAAGCGUGGGGAGCGAACA
RNAcentral lists this ribosomal RNA (428 nucleotides) under uncultured prokaryote. RNAcentral's name for it is "bacterial SSU rRNA". It matches the Rfam family "Bacterial small subunit ribosomal RNA", at positions 355 to 774 of the family's 1533-position model. The record is from RNAcentral.